CCCUUAGAUGUUCUGGGCCGUACGCGCGCUACACUGAUGCAUUCAACAAGCCUAGCCUUGACCGAGAGGUCCGGGUAAUCUUUGAAACUGCAUCGUGAUGGGGCUAGAUUAUUGCAAUUAUUAAUCUUCAACGAGGAAUGCCUAGUAAGCGUGAUUCAUCAAAUCGCGUUGAUUACGUCCCUGCCCUUUGUACACACCGCCCGUCGCUCCUACCGAUUGAAUGUGUUGGUGAGGAGCUCGGAUUGGCAGCAGUUGGUGGUUCGCCACCGGCUAUUGCUGAGAAGUCCUCCAAACCGCCCCAUUUAGAGGAAGGAGAAGUCGUAACA
RNAcentral lists this ribosomal RNA (326 nucleotides) under uncultured eukaryote. Its description in RNAcentral is "partial 18S ribosomal RNA". It matches the Rfam family "Eukaryotic small subunit ribosomal RNA", at positions 1470 to 1796 of the family's 1831-position model. The record is from RNAcentral.